Non-coding RNA from Hordeum vulgare subsp. vulgare (domesticated barley), 136 nucleotides. The record is from Rfam. NCBI's taxonomy places the organism in Eukaryota, Viridiplantae, Streptophyta, Magnoliopsida, Poales, Poaceae.
AUAAUACUUCCUCCGUCCUAAAAUUCUUGUGUUAGGUUUGUCUUGAAAUGAAUAUAUCAAAAUACUAAAAUGUGACUAGAUACAUUUAUAUUUAAACAAAUCUAAGACAAGAAUUUUGGAACGGAGGAAGUACUAG